This 926-nucleotide ribosomal RNA is filed under the name Daptonema hirsutum. RNAcentral describes it as "SSU rRNA". It matches the Rfam family "Eukaryotic small subunit ribosomal RNA", at positions 88 to 1020 of the family's 1831-position model. The record is from RNAcentral. Lineage: Eukaryota; Metazoa; Nematoda; Chromadorea; Monhysterida; Xyalidae.
CGCGAAUAGCUCAUUACAACAGCCGUUGUUUCUUGGAUCUCCGCUUUUACUUGGAUAACUGUGGCAAUUCUAGAGCUAAUACAUGCAAUCGAGCUCCGACUUAACAGGACGAGCGCAUUUAUUAGACCAAAACCAAUCGGCGCAAGCCGUUUUCUGGUGAAUCUGAAUAACUACGCAGAUCGCUUCGGUUUCACACCGGCGACAUAUCCUUCAAGUGUCUGCUUUAUCAACUUUCGUUGGUAGUUUAUACGCCUACCAAGGUUUUAACGGAUAACGGAGAAUCAGGGUUCGACUCCGGAGAGGGAGCCUGAGAAACGGCUACCACUUCCAAGGAAGGCAGCAGGCGCGCAAAUUACCCACUCUCGGCACGAGGAGGUAGUGACGAAAAAUAACGAGAUAACCCGCUCUAGCGAGUUAUCAUCGGAAUGAGUACAAUCUAAAUCCUUUAACGAGGACCUAGCGGAGGGCAAGUCUGGUGCCAGCAGCCGCGGUAAUUCCAGCUCCGCCAGUGUAUAUCUAUGCUGCUGCGGUUAAAAAGCUCGUAGUUGGAUCUUCGUGAUCGUCCCAGUCCGCCUUUGUGGCGUGAACUGACGACGUUCACUGAAUCGCUGCUUUACCCUUGUUGCUCUUAACCGGGUGACCUGGGUGGGUAGCAUGUUUACUUUGAAAAAAUUAGAGUGCUUAAAACAAGCGAUUUGCUUGAAUAUUCGUGCAUGGAAUAAUAGAAUAGGCUUUUGGCUCUAUUUUGUUGGUUUUCGGAGCACAAGAGAAUGAUUAAGAGGGACAGACGGGGGCAUUCGUACUCCGACGUUAGAGGUGAAAUUCUUGGAUCGUCGGAUGACGCACUACUGCGAAAGCAUUUGCCAAGAAUGUUUUCAUUAAUCAAGAACGAAAGUUAGAGGUUCGAAGGCGAUCAGAUACCGCCC